GACGAACGCUGGCGGCGUGCUUAACACAUGCAAGUCGAACGGAAAGGCCCUGCUUUUGUGGGGUGCUCGAGUGGCGAACGGGUGAGUAACGCGUGAGUAACCUGCCCUUGACUUUGGGAUAACUUCAGGAAACUGGGGCUAAUACCGGAUAGGAGCUCCUGCUGCAUGGUGGGGGUUGGAAAGUUUCGGCGGUUGGGGAUGGACUCGCGGCGUAUCAGCUUGGUGGUGGGGUAGUGGCUUACCAAGGCUUUGCCGGGUAGCCGGCCUGGGCGGGUGACCGGCCACGUUGGGACUGAGAUGCGGCCCAGACUCCUACGGGAGGCAGCAGUGGGGAAUAUUGCACUGUGGGCGGAAGCCUGAUGCAGCAACGCCGCGUGCGGGAUGACGGCCUUCGGGUUGUAUACCGCUUUCGCCUGUGACGAAGCGUGAGUGACGGUAAUGGGUAAAGAAGCACCGGCUAACUACGUG
Molecule: ribosomal RNA, 468 nt
Filed under: uncultured bacterium
Lineage: Bacteria
Description: partial 16S ribosomal RNA
Rfam family: Bacterial small subunit ribosomal RNA
Source: RNAcentral